GGAACUGUAGCUCAGUGGCAGAGAGCACCAGCAUCGAAGGCAGGAGGCCCUGGGUUCGAUUCCCAGCGGUUUCA
RNAcentral lists this transfer RNA (74 nucleotides) under Agrocybe pediades. It matches the Rfam family "tRNA". From Rfam's summary of the family: Transfer RNA (tRNA) molecules are approximately 80 nucleotides in length. Their secondary structure includes four short double-helical elements and three loops (D, anti-codon, and T loops). Further hydrogen bonds mediate the characteristic L-shaped molecular structure. tRNAs have two regions of fundamental functional importance: the anti-codon, which is responsible for specific mRNA codon recognition, and the 3' end, to which the tRNAs corresponding amino acid is attached (by aminoacyl-tRNA synthetases). tRNAs cope with the degeneracy of the genetic code in two manners: having more than one tRNA (with a specific anti-codon) for a particular amino acid; and 'wobble' base-pairing, i.e. permitting non-standard base-pairing at the 3rd anti-codon position. Lineage: Eukaryota; Fungi; Basidiomycota; Agaricomycetes; Agaricales; Agrocybaceae. The record is from Rfam by way of RNAcentral.